Molecule: long non-coding RNA, 3943 nt
Organism: Oncorhynchus nerka (sockeye salmon)
Lineage: Eukaryota; Metazoa; Chordata; Actinopteri; Salmoniformes; Salmonidae
Exons: 5
Source: RefSeq, a predicted model, not a curated record
UUUGGCCACGCAGUCGUGGGUGAACAGGGAAUACAGGAGGGGACUAAGUGUUAAGGAUCUCCAGUGUUAAGGAUCAGCGUGGCAGAUGUGUUGUUGCCUACUCUUACCACCUGGGGGCGGACCAUCAGGAAGUCCAGGAUCCAGUUGUAGAGGGAGGUGUUUAGUUCCAUAGUCCUUAGCUUAGUGAUGAGCUUCAUGGGCACUAUGGUGUUGAACCCUGAGCUGUAGUUGAUGAACAGCAUUCUCACAUAGGAGUUCCUUUUGUCCAGGUGAGAAAGGACAGUGUGGAGUGUGAUUGAGAUUGCGUCAUCUGUGGAUCUGUUGAGGCGUUAUGUGAAUUGGAGUGGGUCUAGGGUGUCCGGGAGGAUGCUGUUGAUGUGAGCCAUAACCAGUCUUUCAAAGCACUUCAUGACAACCGACGUGAGUGCCACAGGGCGGUGUGAUGGCAGGCUUCAACAGGAGCUCUGAUUUGCAGAGACCUGAACACAACAUCUCUGGCUGCCGUCUCUGCCUCGUGGUUCCUGUAUCUGAUCUUUGUGUUCCUUCUGGGAGCCAUCUGCACCAGAGAGGCACUGCGCUAUGACUUCUUAAUAGCGGAAAAGGUCUCCUUGGUGGAUUUCCUGUUUUUGCUGGGCCUCUACAUCUCCUCGCUGGCCUCCUGCAUGGGUGGUCUACAGGGCACCCAGGAUCCUCCAGGUCAUCACCAAGGAGAGGGUCAUCCCAGCCCUGACCUUCCUUGGACAAGGGUUGGAUAAGCCUGGCAGGCUGGAUGGAUGAUCCAUGAAUCACAAAAUAUUAAGAUAAAUGGAUCAGGUGCUUUACGUUUCAAGCGUCUCAGAGUAGGAGUGCUGAUCUAGGAUCAGUUUAGCCUUUUAGAUCAUAAUGAAUAAAGUGAAAUAGAUAGAGGGACCUGAUCCUAUAUCAGCACUCCUACUCUGAGGCAGUUGAUACAUAAAGCUCCUGAUAGUAAUUCUUAUAUGAACAGAAAUAACAGCCCACUUAAACCACAUGUCAGCAGCCUACUCACAGUACUCUCCAGCACUUAAAUAAAUAACUAACAUAAGUGCAAAAACACAUUUUGCUGCAAACAGUUUUAGGUCACAUAACUUAAACUGAAGUUUUUCUCUUUGGCUAUAAAUCAGAACCAUCAAACACAAUAUAGUCUGUCUCGAGUGGGAGGGUGUGGUACCAGUACGAUGGGUGGGUUCCACGGGAAACGGUGAGAGAAUGGCCUAAUUUUAGAGUGGUCAGUAGAGUAAACUAACCUCACAGAGAGAGAGAGAGUGAAGUGAGGGAACUGAGGGGGCAAUCCAAAUGGCACCCAAUUUCUUAUAUAGUGCACUACUUUUGGCCAGAGCCCUACGGAGAUGCUAUAGGCUCUGGUCAAAAGUAGUGCACUACGAAGGAAUAGGGUGCCAUUUGGGAUGUAGGUUGAGUGCAGCGUAACGGUCUAAAGGUUGGUCGUGUCUUAUGAAACGCAGCACACUGACCCCCCUGACUCCCCACUUCCUCUCCUCGGCCCCCACGCCCCUCAGUAGUGUGUGUGUGUGUGUGUGUGUGUGUGUGUGUGUGUGUUUUCGCGCUGGAACCAGACCCUAGACAUCUCGCCCUGAAUCAAAGCCUUAGAACAAAUGCAGGAAGGGAGAUGAAGGGAGACGGAUGGGGCUGGCCCAGGUUGCCCUGGAACACCGCCAGAGAGCACCAGUGGUGGUUAAGGCAGGAUGGUUGAAGUGUACAGAGCAUUCGGAAAGUAUUCAUACCCCUUAACUUUUUCCACAUUUUGUUACGUUACAGCCUUAUUCUAAAAUGGAUUAAAUAAAAUAAUUUCCUCAGCAAUCUACACACAAUACCCCAUAAUGACAAAGCAAAAACAGGUUUUUAGAAAUGUUUGCAAAUUUACAAACAAAUAAAACAGAAAUACCUUUCUUACAUAAAUAUUCAGAUCCUUUGCUAUGAGACUCGAAAUUGAGCUCAGGUGUUUCCUGUUUCAAUUGAUUAUCCUUGAGAUGUUUCCACAACUUGACUGGAGUCCACCUGUGGUAAAUUCAAUUGAUUGGGCAUUAUUUGGAAAGGCACACACCUGUCUAUAUGAGUUCUCACAGUUGACAGUGUAAGUCAGAGCAAGAACCAAGCCAUGAUGUCAAAGGACUUGUCCGUAGAGCUGAGACAGGAUUGUGUCGAUGCACAGAUCUGGGAAAUGGUACCAAACCAUUCUGCAUUAUCAAAAGUCCCCAAGAACACAAUGGCCUACGUCAUUCUUAAAUCAAAGAAGUUUGGAACCACCAAGAAUCGGGGGAGAAGGGUCUUGGUCAGGGAGGUGAUCAAGAGGAGUCCCUCCAUGGAGAUGGGAGAACCUUCCAGAAGGACAACCAUCUCUGCAGCACUCCACCAAUUAGGCCUUUAUGGUAGAGUGUCCAGACGGAAGCCACUCCUCGGUAAAAGGCACAUGACCUCUCGCUUGAAGUUGGCCAAAAGGUACCUAAAGACUCUCAGAUCAUGAGAAACAAGAUUCUCUGGUCUGAUGAAACCAAGAUUGAACUCUUUGGCCUGAAUGCCAAGUGUCACGUCUGGAGGAAACCUGGCACCAUCCCUACGGUGAAGCAUGGUGGCAGCAGCAUCAUGCUGUGGGGAUGUUUUCAGCGGCAGGGACUGGGAGACUAGGCAGGAUCGAGGGAAAGAUGAAUGGAGCAAAUUACAGAAAGAUCCUUGAUGAAAACCUGCUCCAGAGCGCACAGGACCUCAGACUGGGGCAAAGGUUCACCUUCCAACAUGACAAUGACCCUAACCACACACAGCCAAGACAAUGCAGGAGUGGCUUUGGGACAAGUCUAUGAAUGUCCUUGAGUGGCCCAGCCAGAGCCUGGACUUGAACCCGAUCGAGCAUCUCUGGAGAGAUCUGAAAAUAGCUGUGCAGCAAUGCUCCCCAUCCACCCUGACAAAACUUGAGAGGAUCUGCACAGAAGAAUGGGAGAAACUCCCCAACUACAGGUGUGACAAGCUGGUAGCGUCAUACCCAAGAAGACUCGAGACUGUAAUCGCUGCCAAAGGUGCUUCAACAAAGUACUGACUAAAGGGUCUAAUACUUGACAUAUCAGUUUUAUAUUUUAAAACCUGUUUUUGCUUUGUCUUCAUGGGGUAGAUUGAUGAGGGAAAAAAAUUAUUUACUCAAUUUUAGAAUAAGGAUGUAACUUAACAAAAGGUGGAAAGCGUCAUGGGGUCUGAAUACCAACCGAUGUCUGAUUCCUUCUAUGCCAAAUUCUGCAACCACUAGAUUGCACUGAUUGGUGUAAACCAGUUGAACAUGUAGUGUCACACCUCUGCCCUAUUGGAUCUAAAUGUAUUUUCUUGAUUUAGUCAUGUUUUCCCCCUGUCCAGGCAUUAUGUUCCAUCCUGAUCAUGUUUGUCAUUCAGUGGGUCUAUGCACGCCAAAGGCCAACCUUCGGCGUGGCUUAGCGUUUGGCCGUAGCAAGGAUUCUGGGUCGCCAGGCAAACAAUGCCCUGCUUACUUCCCUAUCUCAAGACUGUGACAGAGGCAUACUGCAGAUCACACAUGGGCACCGCUUGUACCACAGGUAUCAUGGGUAGUGAGAUGGUUUUCAUAUUUUACAGGUCACACAAAGAUCUCCUACUAUAUAUCAGAGGAGUCCAUUUUUAUUCUGGAGUGGCAAAGAGUGACACAUCUUAACUCAAGUUUAGUGUUGAAAUGUAUGGUUUAUAAUAUAUUAAAUAUAGUAAUAUAUUAAAUGACAGUAUGUUUUGUGAAUCUACCUACAGGAGCUGCAGCUGGUUUAAGCUUAUUCAGAUGGGUUUGGACCACCCUGAGUAGCUUGGGAAGGGGUGAGCUUCCUCAGGACCAGAUUUUCGUGACACUCUCUAUGUCAGGAGUCGGCAUGGAAACUAGGCAGCUGACGGGAAUAAACCUGGACUUUGGCUCUCGGGACCG